This 279-nucleotide ribosomal RNA is filed under the name uncultured Staphylococcus sp. RNAcentral describes it as "partial 16S ribosomal RNA". It matches the Rfam family "Bacterial small subunit ribosomal RNA", at positions 83 to 354 of the family's 1533-position model. Lineage: Bacteria; Bacillati; Bacillota; Bacilli; Caryophanales; Staphylococcaceae. The record is from RNAcentral.
CCUUUGACGUUAGCGGCGGACGGGUGAGUAACACGUGGGUAACCUACCUAUAAGACUGGGAUAACUUCGGGAAACCGGAGCUAAUACCGGAUAAUAUUUCGAACCGCAUGGUUCGAUAGUGAAAGAUGGUUUUGAUAUCACUUAUAGAUGGACCCGCGCCGUAUUAGCUAGUUGGUAAGGUAACGGCUUACCAAGGCGACGAUACGUAGCCGACCUGAGAGGGUGAUCGGCCACACUGGAACUGAGACACGGUCCAGACUCCUACGGGAGGCAGCAGGG